Molecule: long non-coding RNA, 690 nt
Organism: Perognathus longimembris pacificus (Pacific pocket mouse)
Lineage: Eukaryota; Metazoa; Chordata; Mammalia; Rodentia; Heteromyidae
Exons: 2
Source: RefSeq, a predicted model, not a curated record
GCCAACCUGGCCUACGUAGAUAGAAAACAUUUUAUAAUAAAAAAAAAAACUAAAUUUAAAAGAAAACACAUAUCAAAUCCAGUGGUGGAAACCUGUUUACUUCCUUAAGAGGAGAGGCUGCAGUAUCACAAAAUUCUUCCUCACCAUAUUUUGUGGAGUUAUAUUGCAUGUGACCUUUAUCAUGUGGCUAAGGCUGUAAGAAAAGUGGCAUGUGUGACUUUUCAACUUAAGAAAAUAUAAUGGACUUUAUCCUGCCCCCAACUUUGGAAUAGAGGAGAAGAAUGAGGAAACUCCAUGUAGAGCAUCCAUUCUUCUAAGAAAAGAAGCAAAUAUGUCUGUGAUGUCUGAGUUUGGUGCAGUUUUCUUAUUUCCUUUUUUCUUUUUUUUAUUUAUAAAAGCAUGAAUAACUUUUCCUUUGACCCAAUAUGCAUACUUGGACAUUUGGCUUAUUUUACCAGUGAUGGCUUAAAAUGCUGAGAGUCAAGUAACUUUCCCAUUUGGGGCUGAACUUUCUUAUCAGAGACUGGCCUCAGAAGAGAUGUUCCUGUGGUUGGCUCAUUGUAGAUUUAGUAGUUCAGGAUGAGAAAAACGCCUCACUUAAAAAAACCCACAAAACUUCCAGUGUGGAUCUGAUGAGACAUUAGAUUAGAAGAAAUUCAGGGCUGCAAAAAACAAAGCAAAACAAAACUU